UGCACACCUGAAUGCAAAACGCUUUGGAUAAAAGUAUCUGCUAAAUGGCAUGUA
This is a non-coding RNA of Salmo salar (Atlantic salmon), 54 nucleotides long. The record is from Rfam. NCBI's taxonomy places the organism in Eukaryota, Metazoa, Chordata, Actinopteri, Salmoniformes, Salmonidae.